This 660-nucleotide ribosomal RNA is filed under the name uncultured Russula. Its description in RNAcentral is "eukaryotic LSU rRNA". It matches the Rfam family "Eukaryotic large subunit ribosomal RNA", at positions 1 to 633 of the family's 3401-position model. The record is from RNAcentral. Lineage: Eukaryota; Fungi; Basidiomycota; Agaricomycetes; Russulales; Russulaceae.
UUGACCUCAAAUCGGGUGAGACUACCCGCUGAACUUAAGCAUAUCAAUAAGCGGAGGAAAAGAAACUAACAAGGAUUCCCCUAGUAACUGCGAGUGAAGCGGGAAAAGCUCAAAUUUAAAAUCUGGUGGUCUUCUGGCCAUCCGAGUUGUAAUUUAGAGAAGCGUCUUCCGCGCUGGACCGUGCACAAGUCUCCUGGAAUGGAGCGUCAUAGAGGGUGAGAAUCCCGUCUUUGGCACGGACUCCCAGGGCUUUUGUGAUGCGCUCUCGAAGAGUCGAGUUGUUUGGGAAUGCAGCUCAAAAUGGGUGGUGAACUCCAUCUAAAGCUAAAUAUUGGCGAGAGACCGAUAGCGAACAAGUACCGUGAGGGAAAGAUGAAAAGCACUUUGGAAAGAGAGUGAAACAGUACGUGAAAUUGUUGAAAGGGAAACGCUUGAAGUCAGUCGCGUCGACCGAGACUCAGCCUCGCCUCGGCUUGGUGUACUUCUCGGCCGACGGGUCAGCAUCGAUUUCGAUCCUCGGAUAAUGACGAGGGAAAGGUGGCACCCUUUCGGGUGUGUUAUAGUCCUCCGUCGCAUGCGAGGGUCGGGAUCGAGGAACUCAGCACGCGCCUCUCGGCGUCGGGGCUUCGGCUCACGUUACGUGCUUAGGAUGCUGCGAUA